RNAcentral lists this small nuclear RNA (81 nucleotides) under Trifolium pratense (red clover). Lineage: Eukaryota; Viridiplantae; Streptophyta; Magnoliopsida; Fabales; Fabaceae. The record is from RNAcentral.
GUCCCUUCGGGGACAUCCGAUAAAAUUGGAACGAUACAGAGAAGGAUGACACGCACAAAUCGAGAAAUGGUCCAAAUUUUU